Molecule: ribosomal RNA, 1391 nt
Filed under: uncultured bacterium
Lineage: Bacteria
Description: 16S ribosomal RNA
Rfam family: Bacterial small subunit ribosomal RNA
Source: RNAcentral
UCAGGAUGAACGCUGGCGGCGUGCCUAAGACAUGCAAGUCGAGUGGGUUUAGACCCACGGCGAACGGGUGAGUAAUACCUAGGAACUUUUUCCAAGUUGAGCAUAACCAGCCGAAAGGUUGGAUAAUACUCAAUGUCAUCGCAAGAUGAAAGUAGCAAUACGCUUGGAGUGAGGCCUGGGCACCAUCAGCUAGUUGGUAAGGUAAUGGCUUACCAAGGCUAUGACGGUUAGGGGCCCCGAGAGGGGAAACCCCCACACUGGGACUGCGACACGGCCCAGACUCCUACGGGAGGCAGCAGUUUGGAAUUUUGGACAAUGGACGAAAGUCUGAUCCAGCGACGCCGCGUGGACGAUGAAGGCCUUCGGGUUGUAAAGUCCUUUUGCUCGGGAACAAUUUUUGAGCGUACCGAGAGAAUAAGAGGUUGCUAACUCUGUGCCAGCAGCAGCGGUAAUACAGAGACCUCAAGCGUUAUCCGGAAUCAUUGGGCGUAAAGCGUUCCGAUAGGUGGUUUUACAAGUCAGAAGUGAAAUCUCUCAGCUCAACUGGGAGACUGUCUUUUGAAACUGUAAAACUAGAGGGGCAAAGAGGAAGCUGGAACGAACGGUGUAGUAGUGAAAUGCGUUGAUAUCGUUCGGAACACCAAUAGCGAAGGCAAGCUUCUGGGUGCCACCUGACACUGCUAGGACGAAAGCGUGGGGAGCGAAUGGGAUUAGAUACCCCAGUAGUCCACGCUGUAAACGAUGUACAUUAGGUGCUAGGGAGUAUCGACCCUUUUUAGUACCAUAGCUAACGCGUUAAAUGUACCGCCUGGGGAGUACGGCCGCAAGGCUAAAACUCAAAGGAAUUGACGGGGACCUGCACAAGCGGUGGAGCAUGUGGUUUAAUUCGACGGUAAGCGAGGAACCUUACCAAGGCUUGACAUACAGCUGCAAAUCCGCAGAAACGCGGACUUCUUCGAGAGUGCUGAACAGGUGCUGCACGGUUGUCGUCAGCUCGUGCCGUGAGGUGUUCACUUAAGUGUGAAAACGAGCGCAACCCCUAUUACCAGUUACAAGUGUCUGGUGAAACUGCCCGCGUCUAAGCGGGAGGAAGGUGGGGAUGACGUCAAAUCAGCGUGGCUCUUACGCCUUGGGCGACACACGUGCUACAAUGGGAAAGUACAGAGGGACGCCAAGUCGCAAGACGGAGCAAAUCCCACUAAAAUUUCCCCCAGUUCGGAUUGAGGGCUGCAACUCGCCCUCAUGAAGCCGGAAUCGCUAGUAACCGUGGAUCAGCCUCGCCACGGUGAAUACGUUCUCAGGUUUUGUACACACCGCCCGUCAAGCCAUGGAAGCAGGAAGCGGCUAAAGUAUUACGCAAGUAGUCCUAAGCCGAAGCUUGUAACUGGGGC